Molecule: ribosomal RNA, 407 nt
Filed under: uncultured bacterium
Lineage: Bacteria
Description: partial 16S ribosomal RNA
Rfam family: Bacterial small subunit ribosomal RNA
Source: RNAcentral
GACGAACGCUGGCGGCGUGCCUAAUACAUGCAAGUAGGCCGCAGUUGCGAACGGGUGAGUAACGCGUAGGUAACUACCUAUUAGAGGGGGAUAACUCUUGGAAACGAUAGCUAAUACCGCAUACUAGUAGAUGGACCUGCGUUGUAUUAGCUAGUAGGUAGGGUAAUGGCCUACCUAGGCAACGAUACAUAGCCGAGUUGAGAGGGUGAUCGGCGACAAUGGGACUGAGAGACGGCCCAGACUCCUACGGGAGGCAACAGUAGGGGAUCUGCGGCAAUGGGGGGAACCCUGACCAGGCAACGCCGGGGGAGUGAAGAAGGUUAUCGGAUCGUAAAGCGCUGUUGUUAAGGAAGCGGUACUUGACCAGAAAGGGACGGCUAACUACGUGCCAGCCGCCGCGGUAAUAC